GACAGAGGAGCCAAGCGUUGUCCGGACUGACUGGGCGUAAAGCGCACGCAGGCGGUCGCUCAAGUGUCGUGUGAAAGCGCCGCGCUUAACGCGGCGAGGACAAGGCAAACUGGGCGACUGGAGCGCUGGAGAGGUCGGUGGAAUUGCCGGUGUAGUGGUGAAAUGCGUAGAGAUCGGCAGGAACACCCAGGGGGAAACCAACCGACUGGUCAGCCGCUGACGCUGAGGUGCGAAAGCGUGGGGAGCGAACCGG
Molecule: ribosomal RNA, 253 nt
Filed under: uncultured bacterium
Lineage: Bacteria
Description: partial 16S ribosomal RNA
Rfam family: Bacterial small subunit ribosomal RNA
Source: RNAcentral